GAUGAAGAACGCAGCGAAAUGCGAUAAGUAAUGUGAAUUGCAGAAUUCAGUGAAUCAUCGAGUCUUUGAACGCACAUUGCGCCCCCUGGUAUUCCGGGGGGCAUGCCUGUCCGAGCGUCAUUGCUGCCCUCAAGCCCGGCUUGUGUGUUGGGUCUCGUCCCCCUUCCCGGGGGGACGGGCCCGAAAGGCAGCGGCGGCACCGCGUCCGGGCCUCGAGCGUAUGGGGCUUUGUCACCCGCUCUGUAGGCCCGGCCGGCGCUUGCCGAUCAACCAAAACUUUUUUCCAGGUUGACCUCGGAUCAGGUAGGGAUACCCGCUGAACUUAAGCAUAUCAAUAAGCGGAGGA
Molecule: unclassified non-coding RNA, 346 nt
Filed under: soil metagenome
Description: partial contains 5.8S ribosomal RNA, internal transcribed spacer 2, and large subunit ribosomal RNA
Rfam family: 5.8S ribosomal RNA (bases 1-120)
Source: RNAcentral